UCGGGCCUGCUCAGUGAUAUCGUAUUAAACAGCUGCAGUGAGUAACUGUACUAAGGUAGCAUAAUAAUUUGCCUUAUAAAUUAAGGCUAGAAUGAAUGGUUUGACGAAAGUUGAUCUGUCUCUUAUUUAUUUAUUAGAAAUUAAUUUUUAUAGUGAAAAAGCUUUAAUUAAUUAAAGGGACGAGAAGACCCUAUUGAGCUUUUAUCAGAUAUAUAUAAAAUUUUUUAAUAAUAAAAUUUAUAUAGAAAAUGAUUUUGAUUGGGGUGAUCGAGGAAUAAAAUAAUUUGUAACUUCCUUACAAAAAAUAUUGAUAAAUAAAUUAACCAAUUUUUUGCUUACAUGAAUAAGUUACCAUAGGGAUAACAGCGUAAUUUUUUUAGAGAGUUCUUAUUGAUAAAAGAGAUUGCGACCUCGAUGUUGGAUUAAAAUAACCUUAAGGUGAAGAAGCUUUAAUAGGUAAAUCUGUUCGAUUUUUAAAAUUUUAC
RNAcentral lists this ribosomal RNA (485 nucleotides) under Opisthoteuthis calypso. RNAcentral describes it as "partial 16S ribosomal RNA". It matches the Rfam family "Bacterial large subunit ribosomal RNA", at positions 1853 to 2599 of the family's 2925-position model. The record is from RNAcentral. Lineage: Eukaryota; Metazoa; Mollusca; Cephalopoda; Octopoda; Opisthoteuthidae.